This 467-nucleotide ribosomal RNA is filed under the name uncultured bacterium. RNAcentral describes it as "partial 16S ribosomal RNA". It matches the Rfam family "Bacterial small subunit ribosomal RNA", at positions 28 to 523 of the family's 1533-position model. The record is from RNAcentral.
GACGAACGCUGGCGGCGUGCUUAACACAUGCAAGUCGAGCGGGAAACUUCGGUUUCCAGCGGCGGACGGGUGAGUAACACGUGGGCAACCUGCCUCACAAUGAGGGAUAGCCCUCCGAAAGGAGGAUUAAUACCUCAUAACACAAGAGAAACGCAUGUUUCUCUUUCCAAAGAAUUUCGUUGUGAGAUGGGCCCGCGGCGCAUUAGCUUGUUGGUGAGGUAACGGCUCACCAAGGCUUCGAUGCGUAGCCGACCUGAGAGGGUGAUCGGCCACAUUGGAACUGAGACACGGUCCAGACUCCUACGGGAGGCAGCAGUGGGGAAUAUUGCACAAUGGAGGAAACUCUGAUGCAGCAACGCCGCGUGAGUGAUGAAGGUCUUCGGAUUGUAAAGCUCUGUCUUCUGGGACGAUAAUGACGGUACCAGAGGAGGAAGCCACGGCUAACUACGUGCCAGCAGCCGCGGUAA